Molecule: ribosomal RNA, 550 nt
Filed under: uncultured bacterium
Lineage: Bacteria
Description: bacterial SSU rRNA
Rfam family: Bacterial small subunit ribosomal RNA
Source: RNAcentral
UGGGGAAUCUUCCGCAAUGGACGAAAGUCUGACGGAGCAACGCCGCGUGAGUGAUGACGGCCUUCGGGUUGUAAAGCUCUGUUAAUCGGGACGAAAGGUCUUCUUGCGAAUAGUUAGAAGAAUUGACGGUACCGGAAUAGAAAGCCACGGCUAACUACGUGCCAGCAGCCGCGGUAAUACGUAGGUGGCAAGCGUUGUCCGGAAUUAUUGGGCGUAAAGCGCGCGCAGGCGGAUCAGUCAGUCUGUCUUAAAAGUUCGGGGCUUAACCCCGUGAUGGGAUGGAAACUGCUGAUCUAGAGUAUCGGAGAGGAAAGUGGAAUUCCUAGUGUAGCGGUGAAAUGCGUAGAUAUUAGGAAGAACACCAGUGGCGAAGGCGACUUUCUGGACGAAAACUGACGCUGAGGCGCGAAAGCCAGGGGAGCGAACGGGAUUAGAUACCCCGGUAGUCCUGGCCGUAAACGAUGGGUACUAGGUGUAGGAGGUAUCGACCCCUUCUGUGCCGGAGUUAACGCAAUAAGUACCCCGCCUGGGGAGUACGACCGCAAGGUUG